GAUGAAGAACGUAGCGAAAUGCGAUAAGUAAUGUGAAUUGCAGAAUUCAGUGAAUCAUCGAAUCUUUGAACGCACAUUGCGCCCGCCAGUAUUCUGGCGGGCAUGCCUGUUCGAGCGUCAUUUCAACCAUCAAGCCCCCCGGCUUGUGUUGGGGACCUGCGGCUGCCGCAGGCCCUGAAAAGCAGUGGCGGGCUCGCUGUCACACCGAGCGUAGUAGCAUACAUCUCGCUCUGGGCGUGCUGCGGGUUCCGGCCGUUAAACCACCUUCAUAACCCAAGGUUGACCUCAGAUCAGGUAGGAAGACCCGCUGAACUUAAGCAUAUCAAUAAGCGGAGGA
RNAcentral lists this unclassified non-coding RNA (337 nucleotides) under soil metagenome. RNAcentral describes it as "partial contains 5.8S ribosomal RNA, internal transcribed spacer 2, and large subunit ribosomal RNA". The stretch from base 1 to 120 matches the Rfam family "5.8S ribosomal RNA", at positions 35 to 154 of the family's 154-position model. The record is from RNAcentral.